GGAAUCUUCCACAAUGGACGAAAGUCUGAUGGAGCAACGCCGCGUGAGUGAAGAAGGUUUUAGGAUCGUAAAACUCUGUUGUUAAAGAAGAACGUAUCUAAGAGUAACUGCUUAGGUAGUGACGGUAUUUAACCAGAAAGCCACGGCUAACUACGUGCCAGCAGCCGCGGUAAUACGUAGGUGGCAAGCGUUAUCCGGAUUUAUUGGGCGUAAAGCGAGCGCAGGCGGUUUUUUAAGUCUGAUGUGAAAACCUUCGGCUUAACCGAAGAAGUGCAUUAGAAACUGGAAAACUUGAGUGCAGAAGAGGACGGUGGAACUCCAUGUGUAGCGGUGAAAUGCGUAGAUAUAUGGAAGAACACCAGUGGCGAAGGCGGCUGUCUGGUCUGUAACUGACGCUGAGGCUCGAAAGUAUGGGGAGCGAACA
Molecule: ribosomal RNA, 424 nt
Filed under: uncultured Lactobacillus sp.
Lineage: Bacteria; Bacillati; Bacillota; Bacilli; Lactobacillales; Lactobacillaceae
Description: bacterial SSU rRNA
Rfam family: Bacterial small subunit ribosomal RNA
Source: RNAcentral